RNAcentral lists this ribosomal RNA (489 nucleotides) under uncultured bacterium. RNAcentral describes it as "partial 16S ribosomal RNA". It matches the Rfam family "Bacterial small subunit ribosomal RNA", at positions 30 to 506 of the family's 1533-position model. The record is from RNAcentral.
AUUGAACGCUGGCGGCAGGCCUAACACAUGCAAGUCGAACGGUAACAGGAAGAAGCUUGCUUCUUUGCUGACGAGUGGCGGACGGGUGAGUAAUGUCUGGGAAACUGCCUGAUGGAGGGGGAUAACUACUGGAAACGGUAGCUAAUACCGCAUAACGUCGCAAGACCAAAAAGGGGGACCUUCGGGCCUCUUGCCAUCGGAUGUGCCCAGAUGGGAUUAGCUAGUAGGUGGGGUAACGGCUCACCUAGGCGACGAUCCCUAGCUGGUCUGAGAGGAUGACCAGCCACACUGGAACUGAGACACGGUCCAGACUCCUACGGGAGGCAGCAGUGGGGAAUAUUGCACAAUGGGCGCAAGCCUGAUGCAGCCAUGCCGCGUGUAUGAAGAAGGCCUUCGGGUUGUAAAGUACUUUCAGCGGGGAAGAAGGGAGUAAAGUUAAUACCUUUGCUCAUUGACGUUACCCGCAGAAGAAGCACCGGCUAACUCCGU